Molecule: long non-coding RNA, 221 nt
Filed under: Olea europaea subsp. europaea
Lineage: Eukaryota; Viridiplantae; Streptophyta; Magnoliopsida; Lamiales; Oleaceae
Source: RNAcentral
GUAAUCAAACAAUUGAGCUAAGAAAAAAUAAUAAAUAAUAAAAAAACAGAUUUUCUAAUGGAUUAGAAACAUAAAAAUGAAGCUAGCUCUGGGUUCGAGUGACAUUUCACCCCUAACCUCAACUCAUCCGUUGAUUCUUCAACAUCAGUCGGUUCGGACCCCCACUUAGUUUCACCCAAACUUCAUCCUGGUCAUGAAUAGCUACAUUUAUAAAGAUUAUG